RNAcentral lists this long non-coding RNA (216 nucleotides) under Manihot esculenta (cassava). Its description in RNAcentral is "long non-coding RNA (MESC_LNC004706)". Lineage: Eukaryota; Viridiplantae; Streptophyta; Magnoliopsida; Malpighiales; Euphorbiaceae. The record is from RNAcentral.
CGAAUUCUGAUGUUGACUUGGAUGAUUUAGAAAUUUUAGUUAAACGAGAGGGCCUUACUCUUGUUAUUGAUUUUUCGGAUAAACUUGGAUAGGAACUUGCAAAAAGUUAGAGCAAAUAUGUAAUAGUGAAGCUUCUAGGGCAAAGGAUUGGUUAUAGAGCUCUAGCGGCUAAAUUACAACUGCUUUGGCAAUUUGAUAAUCUGAAAAUUCUUGAUC